Molecule: ribosomal RNA, 709 nt
Filed under: uncultured archaeon
Lineage: Archaea
Description: bacterial SSU rRNA
Rfam family: Archaeal small subunit ribosomal RNA
Source: RNAcentral
CCUCGGCGGACGGCUCAGUAACACGUGGGUAAUCUACCCUCAGGACAGGGAUAACCCCGGGAAACUGGGGAUAAUACCUGAUAGGUGGAGAGGUCUGGAAUGAUUCUUCACUUAAAGCUCCGGUGCCUGAGGAUGAGCCUGCGCCUGAUUAGGUUGUUGGCGGUGUAAUGGACCACCAAGCCGAAGAUCGGUACGGGCACUGAGAGGUGUAGCCCGGAGAUGGAGACUGAGACACGGCUCCAGGCCCUACGGGGCGCAGCAGGCGCGAAAACUCCGCAAUGCGCGCAAGCGUGACGGGGGGACUCCAAGUGCGUUCGCGUUUAGCGAGUGCUUUUGCAGAGUGUAAAUAGCUCUGCGAAUAAGAGCGGGGUAAGACCGGUGCCAGCCGCCGCGGUAACACCGGCCGCUCAAGUGGUGACCACUAUUAUUGGGCCUAAAGCGUUCGUAGCCGGUUCGUUAAGUCCUUGGGUAAAUCCAUUCGUUUAACGAAUGGAAUUCUGAGGAUACUGCCGAACUUGGGGGCGAGAGAAGUCAGAGGUACUUCAGGGGUAGCGGUGAAAUGCUGUAAUCCUUGAGGGACCACCAGUGGCGAAAGCGUCUGACUAGAGCGCGCCCGACGGUGAGGGACGAAAGCCAGGGGAGCGAACGGGAUUAGAUACCCCGGUAGUCCUGGCCGUAAACGCUGCAUGCUAGGUGUUGCAUGCUCUAC